RNAcentral lists this ribosomal RNA (579 nucleotides) under uncultured bacterium. Its description in RNAcentral is "partial 16S ribosomal RNA". It matches the Rfam family "Bacterial small subunit ribosomal RNA", at positions 355 to 932 of the family's 1533-position model. The record is from RNAcentral.
UGGGGAAUUUUGGACAAUGGGCGAAAGCCUGAUCCAGCAAUGCCGCGUGCGUGAAGAAGGCCUUCGGGUUGUAAAGCACUUUUGUCCGGAAAGAAAUCCUUGGCUCUAAUACAGUCGGGGGAUGACGGUACCGGAAGAAUAAGCACCGGCUAACUACGUGCCAGCAGCCGCGGUAAUACGUAGGGUGCAAGCGUUAAUCGGAAUUACUGGGCGUAAAGCGUGCGCAGGCGGUUUGCUAAGACCGAUGUGAAAUCCCCGGGCUCAACCUGGGAACUGCAUUGGUGACUGGCAGGCUAGAGUAUGGCAGAGGGGGGUAGAAUUCCACGUGUAGCAGUGAAAUGCGUAGAGAUGUGGAGGAAUACCGAUGGCGAAGGCAGCCCCCUGGGCCAAUACUGACGCUCAUGCACGAAAGCGUGGGGAGCAAACAGGAUUAGAUACCCUGGUAGUCCACGCCCUAAACGAUGUCAACUAGUUGUUGGGGAUUCAUUUCCUUAGUAACGUAGCUAACGCGUGAAGUUGACCGCCUGGGGAGUACGGUCGCAAGAUUAAAACUUAAAUGAAUUGACGGGGUCAUAGCUG